ACAGGAUUAGAUACCCUGGUAGUCCACGCCGUAAACGAUGAUAACUAGCUGUCCGGGCUCAUAGAGCUUGGGUGGCGCAGCUAACGCAUUAAGUUAUCCGCCUGGGGAGUACGGUCGCAAGAUUAAAACUCAAAGGAAUUGACGGGGGCCUGCACAAGCGGUGGAGCAUGUGGUUUAAUUCGAAGCAACGCGCAGAACCUUACCAGCCUCUGACAUCCUAGGACGGUUUCUGGAGACAGACUCCUUCCCUUCGGGGACCUAGUGACAGGUGCUGCAUGGCUGUCGUCAGCUCGUGUCGUGAGAUGUUGGGUUAAGUCCCGCAACGAGCGCAACCCUCGUCCUUAGUUGCCAUCAUUUAGUUGGGCACUUUAAGGAAACUGCCGGUGAUAAGCCGGAGGAAGGUGGGGAUGACGUCAAGUCCUCAUGGCCCUUACAGGCUGGGCUACACACGUGCUACAAUGGCAUCUACAGUGAGCAGCGAUCCCGCGAGGGUUAGCUAAUCUCCAAAAGAUGUCUCAGUUCGGAUUGUUCUCUGCAACUCGAGAGCAUGAAGGCGGAAUCGCUAGUAAUCGCGGAUCAGUAUGCCGCGGUGAAUACGUUCCCAGGCCUUGUACACACCGCCCGUCACACCAUGGGAGUUGGAUUCACCCGAAGGUGGUGCGCUAACCCGCAAGGGAGGCAGCCAACCACGGUGGGUUCAGCGACUGGGGUGAAGUCGUAACAAGGUAACC
RNAcentral lists this ribosomal RNA (731 nucleotides) under uncultured bacterium. RNAcentral describes it as "bacterial SSU rRNA". It matches the Rfam family "Bacterial small subunit ribosomal RNA", at positions 772 to 1501 of the family's 1533-position model. The record is from RNAcentral.